This is a long non-coding RNA of Calidris pygmaea (Spoon-billed sandpiper), 715 nucleotides long. Lineage: Eukaryota; Metazoa; Chordata; Aves; Charadriiformes; Scolopacidae. The record is from Ensembl.
CAUCCCUAAGGUUGUGCUUGGUGCCUCCUGGCACCACAGCUGGACCCACAGCUGGAAAAUCAGGGCAGCAGUUCUGUCCCUUCCAUUAUUUCUGUCCUUUGCCAAAGAUUAAGGUCCCUCUUUUCUCAUGUGGGCGCUGCCUGAACUCUAAAUUUUCCCUGCGGAUAGAAAAGGCGAAAUUAUAUUGAGUAAGUUUCUUUUCCUAGGUUUGUGCAGGGGUUUUAUAAUAGUCUCCUGGAAAAAUGAGCCGACCCCUAUAAUCUACCUCCGUCAGGCAAUAUUUUUCCCUUAUUCUUCCCUGUUGGAAAACUGCCUGUGACCCCUUCCAGGUCCCCUCCCAGCAGCAGAAAGAAGGUGGCUUUGCAUUUCUCUGGAGCCUCUUCCGCAGCGAGGGAUGCGAGCACGCCCGAGGAGACGGCCAGGAGGCAGCUCCCCGCCAACGGGGACCAGAGUGCCAACAGAUCCCUCUGCAGCGACACAGAAAGCCUCGGGGGGAGCUGUGAAUCCCGAUCCCUGGACUCUCCCAGUUCUAGCCCAGGUGAGAGGUGCAAAAAAAAAAAUAAAAUUCUUGCCUAAUAUUGCCCCAAAAAACCUAAAAGAGGCAUAAAGCCCACACUGACCCACUUUGUGCACCACGAGGAUGAGAAGGGCUCUUUAUAUUUUCCUCUCCCCUCUAAGGAAACUCGAAUAGGAAGCUGUUGAAGGCUCCAUCCAC